RNAcentral lists this ribosomal RNA (497 nucleotides) under uncultured bacterium. RNAcentral's name for it is "partial 16S ribosomal RNA". It matches the Rfam family "Bacterial small subunit ribosomal RNA", at positions 28 to 507 of the family's 1533-position model. The record is from RNAcentral.
GAUGAACGCUGGCGGCGUGCCUAAUACAUGCAAGUCGAGCGAACGGACGAGAAGCUUGCUUCUCUGAUGUUAGCGGCGGACGGGUGAGUAACACGUGGAUAACCUACCUAUAAGACUGGGAUAACUUCGGGAAACCGGAGCUAAUACCGGAUGAUAUAUUGAACCGCAUGGUUCAAAGGUGAAAGACGGUCUUGCUGUCACUUAUAGAUGGAUCCGCGCUGCAUUAGCUAGUUGGUAAGGUAACGGCUUACCAAGGCAACGAUGCGUAGCCGACCUGAGAGGGUGAUCGGCCACACUGGAACUGAGACACGGUCCAGACUCCUACGGGAGGCAGCAGUAGGGAAUCUUCCGCAAUGGGCGAAAGCCUGACGGAGCAACGCCGCGUGAGUGAUGAAGGUCUUCGGAUCGUAAAACUCUGUUAUUAGGGAAGAACAUAUGUGUAAGUAACUGUGCACGUCUUGACGGUACCUAAUCAGAAAGCCACGGCUAACUACGUG